AUGGCCUUGCUCUGGGGCUGUUGCAGCUGCACUGCUGAUGACUGGCUCCCAACAGCAAGGAAUGGAUUUGGUUUCUAUUUUAAGCUUCUGUGUCAUCCCAGCUUUGAUGGAUGUGGAGUUAACACAGACCCUACAGGCUGUGGGAUAGCCCAGGGUGAAAGAAAGGGAGAAGAAACAAUCGGUGCAGUCUCACACAGAAAAGACUGGUACAUCUGCCCCCAUUCUGCAGCUGAGGAGAGGGAGGCUGAUGUGACUGACCUGGAGCCAUGCUGCAGCAGAAUGCAACGCCAAGAAGUGAAGCUGGUUCCUGUAGCAGCCCACUCCUCUAGGUUUGUCCUCUGCUCUUCUCCAACACUUCUCCACAUCUCCUCCUCUUGCGUCUCCCCCUGCAGGGAGGCAGGCUGGGAUCAGAAGCAUCAAUAGCCUUGGGGAGCAGAUAAGGUUCUCCAUCAUAAAAAAGGCAGCAGUGCAGAAUUACAAUGACCAAAAAUACGUUUCAGUAAAAUAUGAGGCUUUCAACUCAUGCCUAGAGCUGAACCCUGAGGGUGGCCAUAGCUAAAUAAAAGAGGGACAAGAAACAAGUUCAAAUGCUGUGUCUGCUGUCAUCUGCACACUUGCCCUCCACCUGUGGCCUGGACUUCCCCAGUGGUCCAGCUGAAGGCAGAUCCAUUUCUUUCCAAGAUUUAGUGAUGGUUGAUCUAGGGAUCACUUCUCAAAAUGAACCAGGGAUGAGACGGGAGCAGGUUUUGCUCCCUCUGCUGUACAUACUUCUCCAGUGCCAUCCCAGCCCGUUUUUGAGCCCUCAAUCACCUCCACCAGCCCUGCGUGGCACUCCCUGACACAUUUAAAAUGUAUCCUCAGCUUCAUGUUGCAAACAGAAUGCUAAUGGGGCGAGAGACAGCUCUUCUGUAGUUUCAGGCAUUUUUCAGGGGAAGAAGAAAAAUCAUGCAAAACACUGAAGAUACCUUGCAAACAAAGAUGGCCCACAGGAGCCUGGGGAUCACAUCCUCCGCAGCGCAGCCGUGGCCAUCCUGCUCCAUCGGCUGGUCAGCAUGGGUUGUUCCCUGACCUGCUUUUGUCUGCCAGCGUAGGCACCCGCAGCACCCCGAGACAAGGGCCACGCUGGCUGGAGUGCUUGACUCGCACUGAAAUGCCCAAGUAAAAGUUACCUCUUGCCUCGCCCUGGAGCCAUCAGUGGGAGUAGCCGGGUGUUGAGCCCUGCUGCGACCAGGUGCUGCGGUGGCAGAGGUCUGGGUGGCACCAGCAGCAGCGAGAGGCAGCCUUUCGGGGCAUCAGCAGUAACAGCAGGUACAAAGGGAGUUACGUCUUCACCGGUCCAGUCCCAGACUGCUCAUCUGUAAGGAGCUCCAGGCAGGAAGAUCCAGACGGCUGUUAAUGCAGGAUCACAGCCCGAGGUUUUGUUUCCACCUUUGCCAGAGGCUUUGCAUGAGUCUCAGCUUCCUUUGCCUGCGUAAUGGGUACCUGGUGACUGACCUUCCUUUGUAAAGCUCCUGUCAGGCAAAGGGGGAUCCUCUGGCUUCACCUACAGCUCUCCUCUAUGCACCAACAAAAAUGAUGCUCGUCGGGUUGGUGCUCCUACAGCAAGAGCUCAAUCGGAGAG
This is a long non-coding RNA of Taeniopygia guttata (zebra finch), 1621 nucleotides long. The record is from Ensembl. NCBI's taxonomy places the organism in Eukaryota, Metazoa, Chordata, Aves, Passeriformes, Estrildidae.